CACCUGGGACACACCUGAGCACACCUGGGACACACCUGAGCACACCUGGGGACACCUGAGAUACACCUGGGCACACCUAGGCACAUGUGGGACACACCUGGGCACACCUGGGACACACCUGGGCACACCUGGCCAUGCAGAUGUUGGAUUUUUCCCGCCAUUCCCGGUUUUUUUCUCACCUUUUCCCGUUUUUCCCGUUUUUCUCCCCAAACCGCAGCCGGAUUUCGUCGGCAUCAUCUGCACCCGCCUGAGCCCCAAGAGACUGAUCGAGAAAUGGGUGGACUUCGCCAGGCGGCUCUGCGAGCACCAGUACGGGAACGCGCCGCGCGUGCGCAUCAACGGCCACGUGGCCGCGCGGUUCCCGUUCAUCCCCCUGCCCCUGGACUACGUCCUGCCCGAGCUGCUCAAGAACGCCAUGAGGGCGACGAUGGAGUCGCACCUGGACACUCCGUACAACGUCCCCGACAUCGUGGUGACGAUCGCCAACAACGACAUCGACCUCGUCAUCCGGAUUUCGGACCGGGGGGGAGGAAUUCCCCACGAUUUGCUGGACAAGGUCACCGAGUACCAGCAGUGACCCCAAACACCCCAAAAUCACCCCAAAACUCCCUGAAAUGACCCAAAAUCACCCGAACUUUCCGGAAUUUUCCGGAAUUUUCCGGAAUUCCCGUUUUUUGGCAGGAUUUCGGACCGGGGUGGGGGAAUUCCCCACGAUUUGCUGGACAAGGUCACCGAGUACCAGCAGUGACCCAAACACCCCAGAACUCCCUGAAAUGACCCCGAAACUCCCUGAAAUGACCCAAAAUCACCCCGAAAUCACCCGAAUUUUCCGGAAUUUUCCGGAAUUUUCCGGAAUUCCCGUUUUUUGGCAGGAUUUCAGACCGGGGCAGGGGAAUUCCCCACGAUUUGCUGGACAAGGUCACCGAGUACCAGCAGUGACCCCAAAACACCCCAAAACUCCCCAAAACUCCCUGAAAUGACCCAAAAUGACCCCAAAUUUUCCGGAAUUUUCUGAAAUUUUCCCGAAUUCCCGUUUUUUGGCAGGAUUUCGGACCGGGGCAGGGGAAUUCCCCACGAUUUGCUGGACAAGGUCACCGAGUACCAGCAGUGACCCAAACACCCCAAAACUCCCUGAAAUGACCCAAAAUGACCCAAAAUCACCCGAAUUUUCCGGAAUUUUCUGAAAUUUUCCCGAAUUCCCGUUUUUUGGCAGGAUUUCGGACCGGGGGGGAGGAAUUCCCCACGAUUUGCUGGACAAAGUCACCGAGUACCAGCAGUGACCCCAAACACCCCAAAACACCCCAAAAUCACCCCAAAACUCCCUGAAAUGACCCAAAAUGACCCAAAAUCACCCCAAAAUCACCCGAAUUUUCCGGAAUUUUCCGGAAUUUUCCGGAAUUUUCCCGAAUUCCCGUUUUUUGGCAGGAUUUCGGACCGGGGGGGAGGAAUUCCCCACGAUUUGCUGGACAAGGUCACCGAGUACCAGCAGUGACCCCAAACACCCCAAAAUCACCCCAAAAUCACCCCAAAAUGACCCCAAAACACCCUGAAAUGACCCAAAAUCACCCGAAUUUUCCGGAAUUUUCCGGAAUUUUCCGGAAUUCCCGUUUUUUGGCAG
Long non-coding RNA from Cyanistes caeruleus (blue tit), 1618 nucleotides. Lineage: Eukaryota; Metazoa; Chordata; Aves; Passeriformes; Paridae. The record is from Ensembl.